AACGCACAUUGCGCCCCCUGGCAUUCCGGGGGGCAUGCCCGUUCGAGCGUCAUUACACCACUCAAGCCUGGCUUGGUAUUGGGCGUCGGGGUCCCCCCGCGCCUCCAUGUGACCGGCUGGACGAUUGGAAUCCUCAGCGUUGUGCAUCAAUUCGCUUAGGGGACCGUCGGCCGCGCCGUUAAACCCUCUAUUCAAGGUUGACCUCGGAUCGGGUAGGGAUACCCGCUGAACUUAA
RNAcentral lists this unclassified non-coding RNA (235 nucleotides) under uncultured fungus. RNAcentral's name for it is "partial contains 5.8S ribosomal RNA, internal transcribed spacer 2, and large subunit ribosomal RNA". The record is from RNAcentral. Lineage: Eukaryota; Fungi.